GUCUACAGCCAUACCACCCUGAACACACCCGAUCUUGUCUGAUCUCGUGAAGGUAAGCAGGUUCGGGCCUUGUUAGUACUUGGAUGAGAGACCGCCUGGGAAUACGGGUUGCUGUAGCCU
Molecule: ribosomal RNA, 120 nt
Organism: Rhinopithecus bieti (black snub-nosed monkey)
Lineage: Eukaryota; Metazoa; Chordata; Mammalia; Primates; Cercopithecidae
Source: Ensembl